Oryza meridionalis is the source of this 205-nucleotide non-coding RNA. Lineage: Eukaryota; Viridiplantae; Streptophyta; Magnoliopsida; Poales; Poaceae. The record is from Rfam.
AUUAAGAGUGGUUGUGGAUCUUUAUAUCCAAGGUUUGAUCGUAUGUCUUAUUUAAAAUAUUUUAUGGUUAGUAUAUUUAUUGUUAUUAGAUGAUAAAAUAUAAAUAAUACUUUAUGUGUGACUUAUUUUUUUUAUUUUUUAUAAUUUUUUUUAAAUAAGAUGAACGAUCAAAUAUUGAAUACAGAAACCCACAACUAUAUUUAAA